RNAcentral lists this ribosomal RNA (478 nucleotides) under uncultured bacterium. Its description in RNAcentral is "partial 16S ribosomal RNA". It matches the Rfam family "Bacterial small subunit ribosomal RNA", at positions 28 to 523 of the family's 1533-position model. The record is from RNAcentral.
GACGAACGCUGGCGGCGUGCUUAACACAUGCAAGUCGAACGGUAAGGCCCUUCGGGGUACACGAGUGGCGAACGGGUGAGUAACACGUGGGUGAUCUGCCCUGCACUUCGGGAUAAGCCUGGGAAACUGGGUCUAAUACCGGAUAGGACCACGCGCUUCACGGUGUGUGGUGGAAAGCUUUUGCGGUGUGGGAUGGGCCCGCGGCCUAUCAGCUUGUUGGUGGGGUAAUGGCCUACCAAGGCGACGACGGGUAGCCGGCCUGGGAGGGUGCCCGGCCAAACUGGGAAUGAGAUACCGCCCGAACUCCUACGGGAGGCAGCCGUGGGGAAUAUGGCACAAUGGGGGCAAGGCUGAUGCAGCGACGCCGCGUGAGGGAUAACGGCGUUCGGGUUGUAAACCUCUAUCGGUAGGGACGAAGCGCAAGUGACGGUACCUACAGAAGAAGGACCGGCCAAGUACGUGCCAGCCGCCGCCGUAA